AGUCACUGACAUUAGAUACCCGGGUACGUCCAGGGUGUAAACGCUGCAGACUCGGUGUUUGGAAGCCCUUUUGGGGGCAUUCAGUGCCGGAGAGAAGUUGUUAAGUCUGCUACUUGGGGAGUACGUCCGCAAGGAUGAAACUUAAAGGAAUUGGCGGGGGAGCACCACAACGGGUGGAGCCUGCGGUUUAAUUGGACUCAACGCCGGAAAUCUCACCGGAUAGGACAGACAUAUGAUAGUCGGGCUGAAGACUCUACUUGAUGAUCUG
RNAcentral lists this ribosomal RNA (268 nucleotides) under uncultured archaeon. RNAcentral describes it as "partial 16S ribosomal RNA". It matches the Rfam family "Archaeal small subunit ribosomal RNA", at positions 719 to 982 of the family's 1478-position model. The record is from RNAcentral.